RNAcentral lists this ribosomal RNA (254 nucleotides) under uncultured bacterium. RNAcentral describes it as "partial 16S ribosomal RNA". It matches the Rfam family "Bacterial small subunit ribosomal RNA", at positions 524 to 776 of the family's 1533-position model. The record is from RNAcentral.
CACGUAGGGGGCAAGCGUUGUCCGGAUUUAUUGGGCGUAAAGAGCUCGUAGGUGGUUCGGUAAGUCGGGUGUUAAACCCCCAGGCUCAACCUGGGGACGCCACUCGAUACUGCUCUGACUUGAGUUCGGUAGGGGAGUGGGGAAUUCCUGGUGUAGCGGUGAAAUGCGCAGAUAUCAGGAGGAACACCGGUGGCGAAGGCGCCACUCUGGGCCGAAACUGACGCUGAGGAGCGAAAGCGUGGGUAGCAAACAGG